This 489-nucleotide ribosomal RNA is filed under the name uncultured bacterium. RNAcentral describes it as "partial 16S ribosomal RNA". It matches the Rfam family "Bacterial small subunit ribosomal RNA", at positions 29 to 504 of the family's 1533-position model. The record is from RNAcentral.
AGUGAACGCUGGCGGUAGGCCUAACACAUGCAAGUCGAACGGCAGCACAGUAAGAGCUUGCUCUUACGGGUGGCGAGUGGCGGACGGGUGAGGAAUACAUCGGAAUCUACUUUUUCGUGGGGGAUAACGUAGGGAAACUUACGCUAAUACCGCAUACGACCUACGGGUGAAAGCAGGGGAUCUUCGGACCUUGCGCGAUUGAAUGAGCCGAUGUCGGAUUAGCUAGUUGGCGGGGUAAAGGCCCACCAAGGCGACGAUCCGUAGCUGGUCUGAGAGGAUGAUCAACAACGGAAGUGAGAAAAGGCCGAGAAGCCUACGGGAGGAAGCAGUGGGGAAUAUUAGUGGACGGGGGGAAGAAUGAUGCAGCAACCACGCCGGGGUGAUGAAGGAGGCCGUCUGGUUAUAAAGCCCUUUUGUUGAAGAAGAAAAGCAGCAGGAUAAUACCCCGUUGUUCUGGCGGUAACCAAAGAAGAAGCGGCGGCUUACGUG